RNAcentral lists this ribosomal RNA (739 nucleotides) under uncultured Gallionella sp. RNAcentral's name for it is "bacterial SSU rRNA". It matches the Rfam family "Bacterial small subunit ribosomal RNA", at positions 28 to 762 of the family's 1533-position model. The record is from RNAcentral. Lineage: Bacteria; Pseudomonadati; Pseudomonadota; Betaproteobacteria; Nitrosomonadales; Gallionellaceae.
AUUGAACGCUGGCGGUAUGCUUUACACAUGCAAGUCGAACGGAUUUGGGGGCUUGCUCCCAGGUUAGUGGCGAACGGGUGAGUAAUAUAUCGGAACAUAUCCGGAAGUGGGGGAUAACGUAGCGAAAGUUACGCUAAUACCGCAUAUGCCCUGAGGGGGAAAGGGGGGGAUUCGCAAGAACCUCUCGCUUUCGGAGUGGCCGAUAUCGGAUUAGCUAGAUGGUGAGGUAAAGGCUCACCAUGGCGACGAUCCGUAGCUGGUCUGAGAGGACGACCAGCCACACUGGAACUGAGACACGGUCCAGACUCCUACGGGAGGCAGCAGUGGGGAAUUUUGGACAAUGGGCGAAAGCCUGAUCCAGCCAUACCGCGUGAGUGAAGAAGGCCUUCGGGUUGUAAAGCUCUUUCAGCCGGAAAGAAAUUGCUUCUAUUAAUACUAGGAGUAGAUGACGGUACCGGAAGAAGAAGCACCGGCUAACUACGUGCCAGCAGCCGCGGUAAUACGUAGGGUGCGAGCGUUAAUCGGAAUUACUGGGCGUAAAGCGUGCGCAGGCGGUUUUUUAAGUCAGAUGUGAAAUCCCCGGGCUCAACCUGGGAACUGCAUUUGAAACUGGAAGACUAGAGUAUAGCAGAGGGGGGUAGAAUUCCACGUGUAGCUGUGAAAUGCGUAGAUAUGUGGAGGAAUACCGAUGGCGAAGGCAGCCCCCUGGGUCGAUACUGACGCUCAUGCACGAAAGCGU